Molecule: ribosomal RNA, 484 nt
Filed under: uncultured bacterium
Lineage: Bacteria
Description: partial 16S ribosomal RNA
Rfam family: Bacterial small subunit ribosomal RNA
Source: RNAcentral
AUUGAACGCUGGCGGCAGGCCUAACACAUGCAAGUCGAGCGGAUGAAGGGAGCUUGCUCCUGGAUUCAGCGGCGGACGGGUGAGUAAUGCCUAGGAAUCUGCCUGGUAGUGGGGGAUAACGUCCGGAAACGGGCGCUAAUACCGCAUACGUCCUGAGGGAGAAAGUGGGGGAUCUUCGGACCUCACGCUAUCAGAUGAGCCUAGGUCGGAUUAGCUAGUUGGUGGGGUAAAGGCCUACCAAGGCGACGAUCCGUAACUGGUCUGAGAGGAUGAUCAGUCACAAGGGAAGUGAGACGGGGUCAGGACCAAUACGGGGGGCAGCAGGGGGGAAAUUGGGAAAAUGGGGAAAAGCCUGACCCAGCCAGGCGGGGUGAGGAAAGAGGGUCUUUGGAUUGAAAAGAAUUUUAAGUGGGGAGAAAGGGCAAAAAUUUAAUACUUUUCUUUUUUGACGUAACAAAGAAAAAAAGACCCGGCAAACUUCGUG